RNAcentral lists this ribosomal RNA (207 nucleotides) under uncultured bacterium. RNAcentral describes it as "partial 16S ribosomal RNA". It matches the Rfam family "Bacterial small subunit ribosomal RNA", at positions 568 to 774 of the family's 1533-position model. The record is from RNAcentral.
CUCGUAGGCGGUUUGUCGCGUCGAAUGUGAAAACCCGGGGCUCAACCCCGGGCCUGCAUUCGAUACGGGCAGACUAGAGUGCGGUAGGGGAGUCUGGAAUCCCUGGUGUAGCGGUGAAAUGCGCAGAUAUCAGGAGGAACACCGGUGGCGAAGGCGGGACUCUGGGCCGAUACUGACGCUGAGGAGCGAAAGCGUGGGGAGCAAACA